Molecule: long non-coding RNA, 1079 nt
Filed under: Bemisia tabaci
Lineage: Eukaryota; Metazoa; Arthropoda; Insecta; Hemiptera; Aleyrodidae
Description: lncRNA ENSSSA1NGG005542
Source: RNAcentral
AUGGCGACUUUUGGAUUCAGCGUGUACGAGGACGAUGAAAACGCCCGAUCAAAUUUCGACAAACCCCUCAAAGAAACCAGCAACGUCAGCGCUAAAGUGCCUCUUCAGAAAAGAGCUGUCUUGGGACUGCUGAGCAACAACCCUGAGUACAAGAAACGAAUCCAGCCCAACCGAACUACGAAACAAGAAAUCACUGACAACAUCGUUGGUAACAAAGUCCAACUGCAGAAACCUCAAAAAGCUCAGGAAAAGGAAGAGCCAGCCGACAAAAAACCAGAAUCCAAAGAAAACUAUGAUACGCAAAAGCGAUCGUUCAUCAAUUCCAAACCGGCAGUCAAACUUGAUAGGCCAAUCCAAAAGGAACAAGAAGUUUGUGAUGAGGUCAGAAAUCUACCGAGUUUUCACUCAAAACUCCCUGAAAUCCACGAGGAUGCAAUUCAUGAUGUCUCAUUCGAGUCAAAAUGUUCGACGCCCGGCAAAAAUGUGCCAGAAUGGAACCAAUGUCUGAGGGCAGUUUCAUUUGUGAUACACCCAUGUCCAUCGAGAAAGCUCUCACUCCUAUCGUUAAGAAGUCAUGCCCGUCAGAUCACGUUCUUUACGACGUAUCCUUGUACAGUUCAGAAAUUUUUGCUUACAUGAGGGAAUUUGAGCUCAAACAUCGGCCGAAACCCAACUACAUGCGCAGACAACCUAGCAUUAAUGCCAGUAUGAGGACGAUCCUAAUAGAUUGGCUAGUUGAAGUAGCUGAAGAAUACUCGAUACAGACUCAGACCUUGUAUAUGGCUGUGAGCUUCAUCGACAGAUUCCUCAGCAUUAUGUCUGUAGAUAGAAGCAAACUUCAGCUCCUUGGAACUGCAGCCAUGUUUGUCGCUGCGUAAGUGGUUUACACCUUUAAGUUUCUUUAUCAGAGGGUCCCACAGUCAGGAACACUGGAAAAACAGAGAAAUGUCAGGGAAUUUUAAAAAUCUGGGAAAACAUGGAAAGUCAGGUAAAAUGAAGAAAGUGUCAGGAGAAAAUUAUAAAGUCACCAUUAUUAGCUUUUUAGAAUGAGUUUGACAUUUGGAACAACAAAGUUUACA